This 657-nucleotide long non-coding RNA is filed under the name Serinus canaria (Common canary). Its description in RNAcentral is "lncRNA (ENSSCAG00000017184.1)". Lineage: Eukaryota; Metazoa; Chordata; Aves; Passeriformes; Fringillidae. The record is from RNAcentral.
CGGGGGACUUCUGUGAAGCACCGUGCGGGUGGGAAAAGGUUUCAGGGAGUUGGGCUGUGGGAGAAACAUGUGAGGUGGCUAGGCAAGGCCAUGGCACGUGCCCUGGGCUUGUGCUGGCCUCCUGCCACCAACCAGCUGGCCCCAGCCAGCCUGCAGCCCCAGGGACUGGCCCAGCCCCAUGGCAAACAGGGCUGAAUUGGGCGAGCUGACCCUUGGACUGGGCGAGGAGGGACGACCCCGCACGCAGGGCCAGUGGUCACAGCGCCACCCUGGCUGUCCCUCACUUCACCCGUUGGGGACAGCCCCUUUGCCAGCACGGUGGGUGCUGAUCCUGGUUUCUGUUUCCUCUUCCUGGCUCAACCCCUGCAGCCCCGGGCUCGCUCCCGGCUGUGGGGCAGGUGGGAACAAACGAAGGAGAAAAACCCACUCUGCGAUGUGCGGGAUCAUUGAAUGCUCUCUGGGCGGAAGCUCCUGGCUGCCUUUUCCAGCCCCAUGAGACGCGUGGCCGCCCAUCCCGGGACGUUUCUCCACAGGUGCCACGUGGCUGCACCCGCCUUCACCAGAGCAGGGAAACAGUUAAACUGAUGGCUCGAGGCCAGCCAUGCCCAUCCUCUGGGUGCCUCUGGCUCCCCCGUCACACUGCCAAACCUGGCUGCC